AUUGUAAUGCACCAUCUCCCCUUCUCAAGUAAAUGACUGUGAUUAUCUAAAGGAGAUUUGUUCUCUGAAUUAGACUGUCUUUAAAUUUUGUUUCUUAGUAUGCCCAGGGCUUUGCUGUUGUCUUUAACUGAUUCUAGGACUAGGACGGUCAACGCUGAUCAUAAGCUGUUGCCAGUUUGGCUGCUGAGGCUGUCUCCUGAUGCACAGAGAAGGAGAUCUACAAAAGACAUGAGCGUGCAACUACAGGAGACUGCAGCUCCACCUGCACCUUAUCUCUUCAGUGUUACUAUUUUAUAUCUUUGGACAUCCUGUGAUAUAACUGUGAUAGAUCAGCAGAAAGUCAGCUUUAUAGUUCAAGGGGAAAAACUACACCCUUAAACUUUAAGUCUAAACAUUUAUUUCAAGGACAUAGAUAUACAGUGAUUUUUUUCAAGAUGAUUGAUUACAUGGUUCCUUUCAUUAGAAAGCAAGUAAAAAUACUCCCAACACAUUGUUUCUUAGGCAGUCACUUAACAUUAUUUAUUGUAAUAAAUGAGUUUGACCAGGUAUUUUUCUUUUUUAUUUAGACAACUUCCCGUGGUAAAAUGAUCUUUGCAAAUCAGAUUUCCUGAUAGAAAAGCUAGGUUGAAACUAUUGCCAACUUUGUUGUGUGCUUCUUUUGAAUUAUUACGUGAACAAGUGGAUGCCUGGGAUAGCUGAAGCCUAAGGAGAUGCUGGAUGUGUUCCAGAUACAGCCAGAAUCAGGAUGUACAUUAGUAGGAGGAAUGUCAGUAAGACAAGUAAUCUUGACAGAAACUGGAUGAAGAGUAGACAAGUUCUUUCUGUAUGCCCCAGAUAGUUCAUGAACUGACCCUCUGUUGAAACAUUCGGCAUGUAUUACUUUAUUCUGGAAUCACAACAAGCACACAUGGAAAGACAUCCUGGGAAGAACGUGGUCACAGUCUCAUGCAGUGCUUUUCAUCAAGAAAGUAGUAUCCAUUUCCUCACCUCUUGUGGCUUUCUUUGGCACACAGAAUGUGACAGAAGUGAUGUUGUACAACUCCAGACCUCAAGCCACAGAGGCCUUAUGGUCCUGCCUUCCAUUCUUAGAAUGUCCUUCCUUUGAAUAAGGAAGCCAAGGUUAGACUUCUGAGUCAUGAGAGGCUCUUGGAGGGGAGCCCCAGUUCACAGCCAGCACGGAUGACCUGGCUAUGUGCAUGACUCUGCCUUACACCUGCCAGCCCCAGGCCAACUGCCAGAGGACUACAGCCACGUGAAUGAGGCCAAGGAAGAACUGGCAAGUACUCUAACUCAAAAAGGAUGAGUAAGUAAGUAGUGGUGGUUUUGAGCCACUGAGGUUUGGGGUAACAUGUUACACAGCAAUAGAUCCCUGAUACAUAUUCCUGCAUCAAAGAUGAAGGAACUGAGGCUCUGUAAGGGUAAGCAACUUGGCUGAAGGUUGAUAAUUUGAACUUGGUCUUUCUGACUUCAGAUUUUUCUCUGCUUGUCCAUGUCAAAACUACUACUGCACUUCAGAGUAAAAGUUCUGAAUUGCUGUAUGUGUUAAGUUUUUUAAAGGCUUACUUUCCCAUAAAUAGAGAGUAUUAGAGUACUAAAAAUAUAAUUUUGUUCUAUUGUGUAUUUUUCUAUCUCCAUUUAUUAGGUAAUGUUUUCCAAAACACUUUUAAAGAAUGUAUCCACUUGCGCUUUGAGGUUUGUGUUUAGAGAAUUCUUUAGUUGCUUAUAUCACAUGGCUCAUGGCUCCUCUGAAAUAUCGGCUUUUCUUGAAGGGAAGUGUAAAGGCUUUCUAACUCGAUCCACUUGAGGAAGGAAAAGAUUUAUUAGGAAGUCAGUCUGCUGCAAAGGAUGGUCUUCUGAAGCUUGUGGAGUCGUGGGUGAGGGAGAGGGCCCAUCUUGAAGAGCUAAGCCACCAAUUACACAAGGUCCAGGACACUGGAAAAGGCCAGAGACAACUGGAAGAUCAAAUCCUUCCUCCGAAGUCUUCCUUUAGAUGCAAUUCAUUAUUUUUGAAUAACGAAAACCAGAGCAACCUGAAGCCACACCAAUGGAAAAGACCUGGAAGAUAAAAGAGAACAGAAUGUAAAGGGAAAAAGAGGACCUGUCACAGACAAAUACUCCGUGUUCUCAUAUGUGGAAUCUUAUAAAAACUGAGCUCUUAAAGUAGAGAAUAGAGAUACAGAAGCUGAGAAGGGAAAGGAGAGAAGCAGGUUAACUUGUGCAAAGACACAGCAAGGUAGGAGGAAUAUGUUCUGUGUUCAUUAAACAGAAGGUGAUUACAGGUAAUAGUAUUGCAUGAUAUAAAUCAAUCAAAAGGACUUUGCAAGUUGUCAGUACAAAGAAAUGAGGAAUGUUUGAGAUGAUAGAUAACCUAGAUAUGCUGAGUUGAUCAUUACACAAUAUUCACAUGUACCCUAACCCUAAUCACACUGUACCCUGUAAUUAUGCACAAUUAUCUGUCAAUUCAAUAACAAAUUUAAAAAUUAAAAAAAAAUUAGAAAGACCUGGAAGAAUUUCUUACCUCUAGGUCAGAGCCAAGUGUCCCUGAGAUGCAAAAGACACCAAAUUUCCAAUACAAAUGUAUUUAGAACUAUUAUAUCUUAUUUAUGAUUCCAAGUGGAGAGACUCAAUUAAGCUUCAAGAAGGACCAAAAGUAGCACAGAAAAUUAGUUUGCCCUCCUGCUGGGAGUUAGGAAAGCUACAUAGUAUGUAGUAGAUACAACUUUUUUUUUUCUUUUGUAGUACUAGAGAUUGAAGUACUCAGCUAUAUGCCUAGCCCUUUUUUAUUUUUUGUUUUGAGAUAGGGUCUUGCUAUGUUG
This is a non-coding RNA of Heterocephalus glaber (naked mole-rat), 2816 nucleotides long. The record is from RefSeq and is a predicted model, not a curated record. Lineage: Eukaryota; Metazoa; Chordata; Mammalia; Rodentia; Bathyergidae.